UUGACCUCGGAUCAGGUAGGAAUACCCGCUGAACUUACGCCUAUC
RNAcentral lists this ribosomal RNA (45 nucleotides) under cf. Cytospora sp. CML 1906. Its description in RNAcentral is "partial 28S ribosomal RNA". The record is from RNAcentral. Lineage: Eukaryota; Fungi; Ascomycota; Sordariomycetes; Diaporthales; Cytosporaceae.